RNAcentral lists this ribosomal RNA (253 nucleotides) under uncultured bacterium. RNAcentral describes it as "partial 16S ribosomal RNA". It matches the Rfam family "Bacterial small subunit ribosomal RNA", at positions 524 to 776 of the family's 1533-position model. The record is from RNAcentral.
UACGUAGGGUGCGAGCGUUGUCCGGAAUUACUGGGCGUAAAGAGCUUGUAGGUGGUUUGUCGCGUUGUUCGUGAAAUCUCACGGCUUAACUGUGAGCGUGCGGGCGAUACGGGCAGACUAGAGUACUGCAGGGGAGACUGGAAUUCCUGGUGUAGCGGUGGAAUGCGCAGAUAUCGGGAAGAACACCCGUGGCUAAGGCGGCUCUCUAGUACGGUACUGACGCUGAGACGCGAAAGCGUGGGGAGCGAACAGG